CAUUAGAUCCAGUGAUUUGAGAUGUUGGUGUUUCUGUAGUUUCCCUCAGUGAGGACUUGUUAAUAUGGAAUCAUCAGCAAGCCAUGCACAUGCAUGAUUUUCUUUAUCCUUAGCCUCUACAGGUUCACAGACAUGCCAUGCAACAAGGGUCCAUUUAUGUCUGAUGCCCAUAUUUCCAUGAAUGGUUAAGAACCCAUUUCACAUCUAAUUAAACUAUAGAGAAUGUGAAAGAGCAAAGCAACUAUUUCUUAGGCUAUAGAACUAACCAAGCUCCUUGUCAAAUGCAUGCUUUCAUCUUUCUAUCCUUCCUUCCUCUGUUAUGCUCUCUUCAAUGAUUCUAUCCCUCCCUCUGUUAGUAACUCUCCUGUGUGUGGAAAUGAGAAAAUUGCAGAAAUGGGGGUUCCCUCCAGCCCAAAGCAGUCCAUGAUCAUCUUCUCAAUAGCUGUUUUGGACUGAAGGGAGCUCCUAAUUCUUCUCUUUUCCUUUGUUGAUGGCUUCAAUGGAUUAUUUUCACCUCUUAUUAUCAACACAGCAUAGCCUUGCAAGCAGGUAAUUACUGAAUUCAAGUCAUGCUGUAUGAACACACACAGAGCUUACCAAAUACUCAAUCUUACUUGUAUAUGAAAUAGUAGUUUCAUUUAGAAGAUUUGGUUGAGAUAAAUGAGACAUUGAAGCGCAAGUUUGAAGUA
Macadamia integrifolia is the source of this 689-nucleotide long non-coding RNA. RefSeq lists it as uncharacterized. NCBI's taxonomy places the organism in Eukaryota, Viridiplantae, Streptophyta, Magnoliopsida, Proteales, Proteaceae. The transcript is spliced from 2 exons. The record is from RefSeq and is a predicted model, not a curated record.